RNAcentral lists this ribosomal RNA (460 nucleotides) under uncultured bacterium. RNAcentral describes it as "partial 16S ribosomal RNA". It matches the Rfam family "Bacterial small subunit ribosomal RNA", at positions 338 to 795 of the family's 1533-position model. The record is from RNAcentral.
CCUACGGGAGGCAGCAGUGAGGAAUAUUGGUCAAUGGGCUUACGCCUGAACCAGCCAAGUCGCGUGAGGGACGACUGCCCUAUGGGUUGUAAACCUCUUUUGUCAGGGAGCAACGCCGGCUACGUGUAGCCGGACUGAGAGUACCUGAAGAAAAAGCAUCGGCUAACUCCGUGCCAGCAGCCGCGGUAAUACGGAGGAUGCGAGCGUUAUCCGGUUUUAUUGGGUUAAAAGGGUGCGUAGGCGGAAUGCCAAGUCAGCGGUAAAAUCUGGGGGCUCAACCUCGCUCCGCCGUUGAAACUGGCGGUCUUGAGUGGGCGAGAAGUAUGCGGAAUGCGUGGUGUAGCGGUGAAAUGCAUAGAUAUCACGCAGAACUCCGAUUGCGAAGGCAGCAUACCGGCGCCCAACUGACGCUGAAGCACGAAAGCGUGGGUAUCGAACAGGAUUAGAUACCCCAGUAGUC